GACGAACGCUGGCGGCGUGCCUAAUACAUGCAAGUAGAACGCUGAAGAGAGGAGCUUGCUCUUCUUGGAUGAGCUGCGAACGGGUGAGUAACGCGUAGGUAACCUGCCUUGUAGCGGGGGAUAACUAUUGGAAACGAUAGCUAAUACCGCAUAACAAUGGAUGACACAUGUCAUUUAUUUGAAAGGGGCAAUUGCUCCACUACAAGAUGGACCUGCGUUGUAUUAGCUAGUAGGUGAGGUAACGGCUCACCUAGGCGACGAUACAUAGCCGACCUGAGAGGGUGAUCGGCCACACUGGGACUGAGACACGGCCCAGACUCCUACGGGAGGCAGCAGGAGGGAAUCUUCGGCAAUGGGGGCAACCCUGACCGAGCAACGCCGCGUGAGUGAAGAAGGGUUUCGGAUCGUAAAGCUCGGUUGUAAGUCAAGAACGAGUGUGAGAGUGGAAAGUUCACACUGUGACGGUAGCUUACCAGAAAGGGACGGCUAACUACGUG
This 497-nucleotide ribosomal RNA is filed under the name uncultured bacterium. RNAcentral's name for it is "partial 16S ribosomal RNA". It matches the Rfam family "Bacterial small subunit ribosomal RNA", at positions 28 to 507 of the family's 1533-position model. The record is from RNAcentral.